Molecule: long non-coding RNA, 126 nt
Organism: Lemur catta (Ring-tailed lemur)
Lineage: Eukaryota; Metazoa; Chordata; Mammalia; Primates; Lemuridae
Exons: 3
Source: RefSeq, a predicted model, not a curated record
GCCCUCUUGAUUCCUGUAGCUUUAUCUUAGGUCUUCAAACCAGGUUUUGGUAUCAAGGUUAUGCUGGCCUCAAAAAAUGCAUUGAUAUUCUAUUUCUUCUGUAAGUUUUGAUGUUUGAGUUCCUUA